CACUCACUCACUCACUCACAGCUGGCUCAAAGCAGUAUGUGGGGAGAGCUGAAUUUUGCUGCCCAAGGAUGAGAGCACUAAGGAGUGAGGCAGUGACUGCUACUUCCAAGAGGACCUCUCCCACCUUCCAAAAAGCAGACAGACACCAUAUGCUCUGGCUUUCUGCAAAGAGUGUGCCUUCUCGACACUCUGGACUGUGCUCACGUGAAUGGCAUUUUAAAGCUAAGUAAUCCCUGGUAAAACAAGUUAAUUCUUUAACUUGAGCAGGGCAAAACCAUGGAAACAAGGACUUCAGAGUGCUGCUAAGCCUGUUGGAUAUACAUCUGUACAGCACCAGGGAAAUACUGGGGUGUCCAUAGUACACAAAUCCCCUGACCUGGGUCUGCAUCAGUCCUUUGGUGGUGCAAACACCCCAGAUGUACUCACCGGGAAACGAAGCACAGAAAACCUGACUGCCCUAGUAAGAUCCCAUAAAGACUGUGGUGGAAAUAAAAAGCCUUAAAAAUCA
This is a long non-coding RNA of Vidua macroura (Pin-tailed whydah), 508 nucleotides long. RefSeq lists it as uncharacterized. The record is from RefSeq and is a predicted model, not a curated record. NCBI's taxonomy places the organism in Eukaryota, Metazoa, Chordata, Aves, Passeriformes, Viduidae. The transcript is spliced from 5 exons.